UCAAUUUCCCUGAGUUGCGGUGAUUUAUUGAAUAAUAAUUCUGUGCUGUGAACAUAUUUUUAUUUAUUUUAUUUAAAAUAUUUUUACCCCACCUUUCUCCUUGAAAUGAAUGCAAGGUGGUGUACGUCAUUAAAAGGACAAUAUUUAAAAGCUAAAAAAAAAAAAAAAAAUCAAUAGAUAUACAAUAUUAAAAUGAACUGAACAAGUAGUACAUUAAAAGCAGUCAUAAAAUCAAUUCAAUUCAGAGUUUUUCAGAUAAUGAAUACUCCCCAAUAGAUAUACAAUAUUAAAAUGAAUUGAACAAAUAUUACAUUAAAAGCAGUCAUAAAAUCAAUGCAAUUCAGAGUUUUUCAGAUAAUGAAUACUGAGAAGUGCUUCACCGUUCACUUCUUCUGGAGGAGCCAUGAGGCUGUGCAGCUGGCCCAAGGCCACCCAGGCUGGCUUUGUAUGCGUAGGAGGCACAAGGAGGGAAUCGAACUCUGAGCCUCUGGCUGCAUAAACGACUGAACUAUCCGUCCAGCUACGAUGUCUCCAAAUAUCUGUUUCUGGGGACGUGAGACGGAGGGUUUUGCUGGGCCCACCUCCAGGGCUUCCCUUUGGAGGGCCCUCUGAUUGGAGACUAUGUGAAUAGGAUGCUGGCCUCCGCUGGGCUGUAGCUUCAUCUUUCCCCCUGCUUUGGACGAGAGAAGCAAGACUUUUCACGCUGUCUCCCUGCCAAAGCCAAGGACCCUUCUGUUUGGAUUCGCUACAAUGGGCCCUUGUAUUCUUUGGCACCGGCUGUCUCUCGGCUGCCCAUCGACGCUGCCUCCGCCAACAAUAACUGCUUUAUCUUUGCCGGUGCCCUGGGUUCAAAGUGGGUUGGAAAGGCCGGGAAUGGACGCGACGGGAACAGGGAUGAGAACGGGACCCGCAUGUCGCCUGGGUGGGGAGAGAGAACUCUAUAAAGGCCAGCAGUCCCAUGGAGGCGAAAAGUCUACUAGCAUCUCAGCAUGUCCUAUGGUAGAGAAAGGAAAAAGUGGAAGAUGGAGCUCUAUGUGCUUUGGCUGAGUUUUGCCUUCCUUCGCGCCGCCCAGGCGGUGAGCUACGACUCGGAUCGUUGCAGCCCAAAACAGGCCUUUGGAGACUGGCUUAUGCACGCCUUUGCCACGGACUGCAAGUGGUUCAUGAAAUACCUGGACGACAUGACGAUGGUCGUCGUCAAUUUACGUGAGACGGAAAGCGGAGGGAUCUACAUCGCUUCCAAGUUCCCAACCCCCUUCGGGUGCCAGAGCCUUGAGCUGGAAUUCAAGAGACAGGAAGAUGGGUCGUACGUCCACACAUCAGGAUGGGGUGAGGAAAAGAUAGAAAAGAUCAUGACAGAUUGCGAUACCUACACCAUUGUCACCAUCGCGAAGGUCAGGGGUGGGGUGACCUCCAGAUAUGCGGUACUUUAUGCCAGGGAGACCCAGGUGCGAAAGGAAGCUGAACAGAAAUUCCUGGACUAUGUGCAUCAUGAGCUGGGCUUUAAGGAGGAAAACAUUCAGAUGUUUGGUGACGAAGGUAAGGUGUGAGAAGAGCUGGUUUUCUUGACCCAGGUUGAUUCAAACCGUACUGAGUGGGGGGGGGGGGGAGAGAGCAGGAGAUGUCCAGGCAAUGGAGGGGACGAAGUAAUGGGCAGGAAAGCAGGAAUUGAAAGCAGGGAGAAAUCCGGGUCCGAUGAGGAUAUGGCGAGAGCUUUGAAGAUAAUGUCUAGACAAUGGAGGGGACGAAGUCAUGGGCAGGAAAGCAUGGAUUGAAAGCAGGGAGAAAUGCGGGUCUGAUGAGGAUAUGGCGAGAGCUUUGAAGAUAAAAACAAGGAGAUGGGUCAAAAGGAUGGUGUGUCCCUAUGGCAAAAGGAUGCACAGGCACCCCCCCUCAUCAACCACAGAGGUGAGGUAUGUGGCAACUCUCCCUCUAGCUGCUCCCCCCAAAACAGGCCAUAUCUGAACGAGUAUACAAACCCACACAAUUCCCUCCUUUGUGUUUCAUGUCCUAACGGCAAUUAAUGUGACCUAAGCCGCUGUCCCUCCUCUUCAAUUAUGUUUUCACAGUGGCCUGCGCGGAAGGUCGUUAGGUGAGUUUUUGAAGGCACCGACACUCAAUUUUGGGCAAAAGCGUUCGCUGGCCUGAACCUUCGGGUCUUCUCGGUCAAGCGUGACAAAAACACACACACACACACCGGUGCUUUUCCAAGGCCAUCGGUCUGAAUAGAGAAAAGGCUGGGUGGUAUUGGCUUGUUCCUGUGACGUCACCACCAGAGGUUACGAUCUGAAGCACUUUUGCCUGUUCAUUGUGAUUCGAGGGAAGAGGGUGGUGGAGGGGAUGUAAGGUGAACAAGACAAGGAAAGAGCAUUGGCCCUUUUUUGAGUGAAAGACAGUGAAAGAAUCUAAGUUUGAUCUAAGAAAACCAGAGACACUGGCUCAUCCCUCAAGUUCCCUGUCUCACAGGUUCCUCAGAAGACUCAGCGCUGCUGGCUGUGGGUUUGGAAGUGUCCAUGGUGUCCAGUUCGGGCCUCCGUGCGAGAUUCUGAGCAUCGAACGCUGUCGUCCUGCUUAAUAAAUAGAUUCGGAAAAUGCA
RNAcentral lists this long non-coding RNA (2596 nucleotides) under Pogona vitticeps (central bearded dragon). Its description in RNAcentral is "lncRNA (ENSPVIG00000013119.1)". Lineage: Eukaryota; Metazoa; Chordata; Lepidosauria; Squamata; Agamidae. The record is from RNAcentral.